RNAcentral lists this ribosomal RNA (274 nucleotides) under uncultured bacterium. RNAcentral's name for it is "partial 16S ribosomal RNA". It matches the Rfam family "Bacterial small subunit ribosomal RNA", at positions 523 to 796 of the family's 1533-position model. The record is from RNAcentral.
AUACGAAAGGUGCAAGCGUUGUUCGGAUUUACUGGGCGUAAAGAGAGUGUAGGUUGUUUAUUAAGUCGGAUGUGAAAUCCCGGGGCUCAACCUCGGAACUGCAUUCGAUACUGGUAGACUAGAGUUCGGGAGGGGUAAGCGGAAUUCCGUGUGUAGCAGUGAAAUGCGUAGAUAUAAGGAGGAACACCUGAGGCGAAGGCGGCUUACUGGACCGAUACUGACACUGAGACUCGAAAGCGUGGGUAGCAAACAGGAUUAGAAACCCUAGUAGUCC